GAUUAUAGUUGGAGAUGGUGAGGGAUCCUCUGGAUCUGAGGCGGUACACGAAAAUCGAGGAUAGCGAUGACCUAACUCAAGCAUUGGUGGAGGAAAUCAUAGAGAAAUGUCUUGGUUUCGAAGUUGAGCAGAGGAGUUUGGUGAUUUGUCUCACGAGUUAUGCCAAGAGGAAAAGAUUUUGUAUAAAUUGAUAUCUGGUCUUCACUCCUCCAUAUCAAUUCAUAUAGCUUUUGAUUAUCUACUUGAUGAAGCUACAGAUUUGGCUUCAAAUUAUCUGGAACAGGCAGAGUAUGAUACUUGUAACCCCAAUGAGAACCUUACAACACAAUCCUUGAUAAAACAACUAAUUUACAACCUCAAGCUUCAAGCUGCAUGUCCAAUUCCAUUUGAUGAAGCUAAUUUGUGGAAAGGCCGAAGUGGACUUGAGCUAAAACAAAAAAUUCAACAACAAUUCAGAAACAUCAGUGCAUUGAUGGAUUGUGUAGGAUGUGAGAAAUGUCGAUUAUGGGGUAUGCUUUAGGUUCUUGGUCUUGGAACUGCAUUAAAGAUUCUCUUCUCUAUUGAUGGUAAAAUAAACUCGAGUCAUACAGUAAGUACAUUUUGCUUGAGAUUUUUGUGUCUUUCUCUCUUUACUGUUGUCUUUAUGCAUGUACCAUAAAUCAGAUUGCUUCUGCAGUGAUCUUUAAAUAAUACAUUCUUCUUCCAUGUUAAAUCCUGAACUAAAACAUGUAUAUCUUCCUAAGUUGUAAUCUAGUAAGUAUUUUGCUCCUACAUUUGAAAACAUUAUGGUUCUUUCAUGCAGAUAAUGGCUAGUAUCUGCAUCAUAUAAUGUUAAAUUUUCUUGUUAAAUACAAAUUAAAUCAUACAACUAGACAUGGACGAUCAAAGAUUAUAAGGUAGUUUGUAGUUACAUGACCACUUAAAAAAAAGUUGUGUUUUUUUUUUAAACUUGACCAUUUAAAUAUGAUCUAAUGAUUAUACUUACAUAGUAAAGUAUAAGAAAUGACUGUAGUAAUUAACUGUAAUUUCUAUAAAAAAAAUUACUUGCAACACCCUAUA
Long non-coding RNA from Glycine soja, 1059 nucleotides. RefSeq lists it as uncharacterized. The record is from RefSeq and is a predicted model, not a curated record. The transcript is spliced from 4 exons. NCBI's taxonomy places the organism in Eukaryota, Viridiplantae, Streptophyta, Magnoliopsida, Fabales, Fabaceae.